RNAcentral lists this small RNA (392 nucleotides) under Photobacterium halotolerans. RNAcentral describes it as "cspA thermoregulator". It matches the Rfam family "cspA thermoregulator". Lineage: Bacteria; Pseudomonadati; Pseudomonadota; Gammaproteobacteria; Vibrionales; Vibrionaceae. The record is from Rfam by way of RNAcentral.
UUCCGGUUACGAUCUAGACUGGAAAUGCUGUUUAGGCAUCUACUCACCUAUAAAGAUACCUGUUAAUAGCAUUCGUGUUGCCUGCCUUCGGGUAACGCAAGGAAUAGAUUACAAAGGAAAGAUCGUCAAAUGAGCAAACUGACAGGAACCGUUAAAUGGUUCAACGAUGAUAAAGGUUUUGGUUUUAUCUCUGCUGCUGAUGGCAAAGAUGUUUUUGUUCACUUCAGCGCCAUCCAGGCUCAGGGUCGCCGUACUCUGAGAGAAGGCCAAAACGUUGAGUUUAUCGUUACAGACGGCCAGAAAGGCCCACAAGCCAGCGAAGUGGUCGCCCUGUCUUAACCGUAAGGCAUCGCGCAACUAAGAAAAACGCCGCAAAAGCGGCGUUUUAUCAU